RNAcentral lists this ribosomal RNA (495 nucleotides) under uncultured archaeon. Its description in RNAcentral is "bacterial SSU rRNA". It matches the Rfam family "Archaeal small subunit ribosomal RNA", at positions 503 to 997 of the family's 1478-position model. The record is from RNAcentral.
AUUGGGCCUAAAGCAUCCGUAGCUGGCUAGGUCAGUCCCUUGUUAAAUCCACCGAAUUAAUCGUUGGAUCGCGGGGGGAUACUGCUUGGCUAGGGGACGAGAGAGGCAGACGGUAUUUUCGGGGUAGGGGUGAAAUCCUAUAAUCCCGGGAAGACCACCAGUGGCGAAGGCUGUCUGCUAGAACGCGCCCGACGGUGAGGGAUGAAGCUGGGGGAGCGAACCGGAUUAGAUACCCGGGUAGUCCCAGCUGUAAACGAUGCAGACUAGGUGUUUGGACGGCCACGUGCCGUUCUAGUGCCGCAGGGAAGCUGUUAAGUCUGCCGCCUGGGGAGUACGAUCGCAAGAUUGAAACUUAAAGGAAUUGGCGGGGGAGCACCACAAGGGGUGAAGCUUGCGGUUUAAUUGGAGUCAACGACCGGAAAUCUCACCGGGAGCGACAGCAGUAUGAAAGCCAGAUUGAAGGUCUUGCUAGACGAGCUGAGUGGAGGUGCAUGG